Non-coding RNA from Paramuricea clavata, 73 nucleotides. NCBI's taxonomy places the organism in Eukaryota, Metazoa, Cnidaria, Anthozoa, Malacalcyonacea, Plexauridae. The record is from the annotation of a GenBank genome assembly.
GACCGCGUAGCUCAGUUGGAAGAGCAUUGGGCUAGUAUUCCAAAGCUUGUAGGUUCGAAUCCCACCGUGGCCG